GAGCGCUGCAGAGCCAGAGAGCUGGGUCUCUCCCCCCCCCCCCCACCUACUUUUCCACUGGCCCCUUCAGCCUCCGAGACCCGCAGGAAUCAGGGAAGGGCAACGCGGCGGGAAGCAGAGGGAACACCAACUGCCACAGCAUGAAACUCCCAGGGAAGAGAGCAAUCAGCUGCCUUGCUGUUGGAAGAGGCCCUUGUGGUAAGGCGCAGGAGGGUUACCAUCGAUCUCACACAUGAGCUUGGCAGCAGAUACUCCCCUCACCAACCUGAAGAUGACCACAACCCCACAAACAAGGGACAGCUUAUUGCAAUCUCAUGAAAGAUUGGGUGGCCAGAACUACCUAGCUAAGCUGCUCCCACAUUCCUGAUGCAUGGAAACUGUGAAGUAAUAAAAGUGUUUAUUGUUUAAAGAUGCUAA
Long non-coding RNA from Marmota monax (woodchuck), 417 nucleotides. RefSeq lists it as uncharacterized. The record is from RefSeq and is a predicted model, not a curated record. Lineage: Eukaryota; Metazoa; Chordata; Mammalia; Rodentia; Sciuridae. The transcript has 2 exons.